GGAAUACACGGCUUCCAUCGCUGCUACGUGUUUGACUUGAAUACGAACGUAGUGCGCUGUUUAACGAAACAAGUGGCAAUUUCUUAGGAACUUAUAUUCCUUGAGGAUUUUUUCUUAAUUAUAUUAGAAGAAAUAAAAGACUACCAUCGGUGGUUGGAGGAAUGAGAGGAGGCGGUUGGUAAUUCUUGAGGUGGCAACAGGUUGCAAUGAUCAUCGUAAGACCUCGUGCCCGAGCGUUAACUUGUCAUUUGUUUUUAUCAUUUAAUUACAAAAAAUGUUUUACCGCUGUUCACUGACAAUGGCUCUUCGGUCAAGUGUAAGUAUCAUCUUUUGAACAUACUGAAGAAGCAUGUGAUUUAAAUUAUUUUACAGUGAAAUUACUUUAUAUUGCUAUUCAAUAAACGUCUACAAAAUGUCCAUAAACAAUUGUGUAAUCUUACUGUCCGACUCGGUAAGAUAACUAUAAAACGUGGAAGAAAUGGAAAGUCGCCCCGAUUUUUCCCUCGAUAGAUCUCGACUUCUGGCCGGAGCGGGACUUAACACUCCCCAUGGCUUUCCCGUGGACGCUCCGUCGCCACAUCCAACACCUUUACGGACUUCGUUUUCAGAUAUGAGUCGUGCGGGUACGGCUAACGACCCAUCAUCUCUUUCAGCAUACCACAGCCGAUUUCUCCAGGCCUCACUGCCUUUGGGCAACAAUGGGACCAGUUAUUCCUAUUUGAGUGGGAUAUACAACAGUAAUUUCCCUGCUCCGUCCACCUCUCCAUUCAGAGUGCCACCUACAGGAAUAAUAAUGAGACAGUUUUGGCCCCCUACACCACCACCAGACAAUUAUAGCAGAUAUGGAAUAGGUAGUAGCCUCUAUACGAUGUUUCCAGCAAUGGGGUCACUUGCUCCAUCUACGGACCCAAACCCAUACUCCAGUCAAGGAUAUAUUUCUAGAUUGGGACAGUCAUCUUCACAUUACCAUUCUAUUCUAGAAGCAGCACAUAAAGAACCUACCUACUUGCCUCCAGGACUAGCUCUAGCAUCUCCUCUUGCCAUGAACAGUCAUUUAGGGCACACAACACCAGUACCCUCCCUGACUCCAGCUCUUGACCGCCAUCCAAGCUAUAGUCACUUGGGGCUAGGGAUGAAAGGGCUAGAUGUUGGAAGGCGCACUCUCCUUGUGGAAGAGGAAGACUUUCGAAGAGUAGAACGUGGAGCAGAUGACUUGGAAGGAUUUUUGAAAAGAGAAGUAUCAAAUGUUAGUUGCCAUCACAAGGUAGAUCGGGCAAGGUUGGGCAUGAAUGUUAUAGAAUCUCAAAUUCGAGCUGCUGGAAAACAAACAGAUUCCUCCUCUAGUGUUGUGUCACAAGAGAAGGCAUCAGAAAGUAGAAGUAAAAACCGUGAAGACAAACAGAAAGAUAAAAAAAUGCAACUUCAUCUUACAGAGUGCUGUCUGACACACAAUAACCCACUACUUUGUAGAGGAACUAAACACAGUAAAUCUCGUGGGUUGACCACAAGUUAUGAAGUUGAAAAAACUGCAAAAGAAAAAAAAUGUUCCAGGUGCUCUUCUGAUUUAACAAACAGCAUUGGCAGUCCUCAUUGUGUAACUAAAACAACUGCUAAAGUAAAAAGCACAGAUUAUCAGGAAGAACAUCAGAAAACGGUUCUGGAUUCCUCUUUAACUACAACAGUGGUCACACCUACUAGUACUGUGGAAACCACCUCAGUUACUACCACAAGAAUUCACAUGACACCAUCAUUAGUUAAUUCAAAUGUUUCCAUUAUUUCCAAAACACAAAAGUCUAACAAUACGGUGUCUGUUGAUGAUACAAAAAUUUCAAACAAAACUUCACAGUGUAAAGAAAAGUGUAGAGAUAGUAGCAUUUCAUGCAGUACUCAAAGUGACCUUGCACCACAGUCACAAAACCUAACUUGUUCGGAUCAUGAUCAUGACAUAUUGAAACUCACACAAAGUCAGGAAGCAGGGACCAUAGAUCUGUCUCUUCCUUUAACAGGUCAGUCUUGUGAACCAAUUCGGAAUGUUUCCUCACAAGUGAGUGAGGGUGAAAAUGAACAGAGUUUGCUCUCUAGUCAAAACACCUCUAUAAGCAAAGUUAGUGAAUCCCUCAUUUCCAAACAAAAAUCAUCAAACACUUUGUCCAGAUCCUGUUCUCUCACCUUGUCUCACACAGUUGCUUCACAGCCAUUGAAAGAUGACAAUUCAACAUUGUGUGUAGUGUCGAGCAAUAGCAAGAGACAUUUGACCCACUCACCAAAGAGCCACACACCUUCUUCUACUCCAAUGUUAUUAUCUGGUGUCCACAUAAAACAAGAGAGAAUAGAAGGAGAAGAACACUGUCCAUUAAGUAAAACAUGCAACUCUUCUCUUUCGUCCACAUGGCAGGAUCUCAGUUUGUCUAGAAAUGAUAUGACUGAAGAGGAUCAAGGUGUUAUUAAUCUCAGUAUACCACGCAGAGUUCCUAAACAAGAACCUGUAGAAUUUGCCUUACAUUAUAGGAUGCAACCAGAAUCUCCAUCAAGGAAAAGUCUUUCAUCAGAGAAAGUUCAAUCAGACUUUGUUUCAUCCAAAAAUCUUGCAACAUUAACAGGUUUAGCAUUACAUGGAACUACAUCUGUGGCCAAAUCAACACUUCAAACAAAUGAUGUAAUGCAUCCUACAGAUCAGAUUGCUGAGAAACCUAGAUCUUCUGGGAAAGCUGUAAAAGCUACCACAUCAGUUCAGUCUCAACUAGUUAGUAACCCAGAUUGUGCAUCUACCUUCUCUUUAGUAACAACAUGUUUGACUGUCUCUCAGCCACCAGUUUUAUCCAGUACUCUGUCAGGGCUACCCAGUCAAGAUGGUGGUAUUUCAGGCCAACAAACAUUUCCUGCUUCCAAAAGGUCUGAUUAUCCUUUUGUUGCAACAAAUGCUAAUCCUCAUCCAAGUACCACAACAAAGCCUAGUGCAUCAGUGUCUGGAUCUUUGACGUGGUCCUGCUCCUCUGGUAAUAGUGUUUCUACCAAUAAUACGUGUCAACCAAGUUCUGUAGCCUUGACUUUUUCUUCUACAGCAAACUCAAACAUCCCUGUAGGAAUAGCAGUAGCUCAAAAGAGACAAGGUGUUUCAACAAAUUCAGCUGAUAAAGGUGGAUCCCAAUUUGGAAUAAAUACAGAUCAUUCAAGCAGAUCAUCUGCUAUAUCUUCUUUGCCUACUGGAAGUUCAGAUAGUUCCAUUCCUGAAAAAGAAGGGUAUUUACAGGAAUCUUCAGGACUGAAUAUGCAGCAACAUCCUGUAGAGCCAAACUUAAAUGACAAUUCUACCUGCAUACUCAGCCAAGAUGUUAAUCCUCCAGUUACCCAGUGGGAGUCAGAUUCUGUUGUACGCACCCCAAUAGCACAGCACUGGGUUACUCCUAGUCCUGUAGUAGGUCCCACAGUUUGGCUUAGUCAGAACACGUAUAACCCUACUCCAGCUCCACCUCAAACAGCUCUACCAUAUUCCAUAGACCCAUCUCACAUUCCCAUAUCACCUGGGGGAUAUCAAGUCUAUAGAGAUUCUUUAACUAAUCAGAUUUUUCUACUGCCUACAGCAACAAAUAUAGAAAUCGUGGACCGAUCUGGAAUUUGGACAGGCUACCCAGCUCCCCCUUGUAGCACACCAGUGCAACAAAUGUUUACAACCCAACCUCAUCAGCCACCAUUUCAAGCUCAAGCCAUACAAGAGGAAGACCAACUCAAACACCAAACAACAAAGAAUAAAAAUUCAUCUCUGCCUAGUAACUGCAUUACAACACUAGAAAUUUCAGAAGAUGAAGAGAGAAAUGGGUCAUCACAGGGUAUCUGUGAAGAAUAUGAAGAUGAUAAAACUGAAGACAAAACUCACGGAAUGCUUCACACAGCUCCAUCAUUGCCUCUUGGCUCUUCCUCAACCGUUUCUUACCCAGCAUUCCCUCAAGCUACUGCCCCAGCAGCACUUUCUUAUUUCUAUGAAGCUUCCACAAUUGUUCACCUGACUCAAACCCAGUCAACAACUGCUAUUCAAACAGAGCCAGGUAAACGUUCACAGGGAACAUCACCUAUGAAUCCUGUUACUCCAUCACCACCACCUGUACUUUUGGGUUCUGAGCAAGGUGUUCAGACAUCAGUUUCUGAUGAAGGAGAUGAGAGUGAGAAUAAUGAUGAAGAAGGGGAGAUAGAAGUUAGUCAAGUUACAACUGAAGGAGAACAACCUAGUCAGGCUAUGAGUGUUACAACUGCAAUUCAAGUAGAUAUGGACUCUCAGACAAAUUCAGAUUAUACUGAUGUAGAAGAACAUGCUGUGGAAGUAACAGAUUCUGCCAACCAAACUGAUAACCUUUUGAUGAGUGUGGGUAAGGAGUUUUGUACAAGUGGUGAAGAGGAGUCAUGUGAUGUCACUCAUCCUCUUUCUCCUGCUGUAAUAGAAAACCUUUCUGUUGCUAAUAGUAAUGAUUCAGAAACUCAGUUGUUCCAGGAGCAGCCUUCUUUGAAUGUUGAAGUAGUUGAAGAAGACUCUGCACCUGUACUUUCAGCAGCUAGCAAACCAGUCAUGGACUUCAUUGAUCAUCAUGGGUUAAACUUGCUUGUGGAUAGCAUUGAAGAAUUUGCUUCACGUGAACAAGAAGGAAAGACUAUGGAAAUGGACCAGCAUCAUUCAGACAACUCAGAUGAACAGUCUAGUAAGAAAAUAAGUGACUUAGAUGAUAGUGCUAAAGUCAAUGACAUUAUGAAUCCCUCUGAAGACUCCAUGUUGUUGAAAUCAAAGUCAUUGUCAAACAGUAUUGAUUCUUCAUGUACUGAUGGUUUAGGACUGUUAUGUGCCCUAGCUGAACAGCGAUUCUUGGAAGAAUCAAUGAACAUCCAAGGUCCAGAGGUUGGACUGAACCUCAGUUUGAAGCAUGAUAUUAAUCAAAACUAUGAGGAAUCUAACAGGCAAGAUGACAACCCUAAUUCUAAGAGUCCUUUACAAGUUUAUGCUUUCAGUAGUAAGUCCUCGUCUCCAUUUUACACAUUGGAAAGUCCAUUAUUUGUUAGUAAUGCUCCAAAAACAAUGGAUGUUGCAGAAUUGGAGAUGAAAUUGCAGCUGGCAGAAUUACAGAAAAAAUACAAAGAAAAACAAAAGGAACUGGCCAAACUUCAGCCAAAAAAAGAAAAGGAAGAACCAGACAAUACUCCUGUGAAAAGACGACCAGGACGCCCAAGAAAAAAGCGUUUCAUGACAUUAAAAUCAAAAACUUUGGAUAUUUCUCCAACAUUGUUUGGAGACCUUUUAUCAGAAUCAGUUCCAGAAACCUCUGCCCCAGUCCUGGAUCCUUCCCAACAUUCAUCUUCUUCUGAACUCACAUUUUUUGAAACUCUUGCUCCAGAAACUUCUGAUGUAUUAUCAGGGUCACCUAAAAAGAAGAAAAAGAAAUGUUCUCCAACAGAAAACAAAAUUUGCCAGAUUUUGAAGAAACCUAAAGAAAACAGGUUCUGUGCAAAAUUUAGUGUCACAAAGAAGUCAAAUACCAAAGGAAAGAAAUCAUCUUUAAAACCAGAAUUUACAAAUAAAACUGGAGAAUUAAAUGGUUAUCAAACAGAAAAGCUGCAGACUCUCCCUGUUCCUGUGCAAGAAGACAUACCAAUAGACAACUGCAACACUCUCAUGAUAGAUGACAAAGAUAUUUCAGCAGCUGAUGACAAUACCAAAAAAUAUCUUAAGCCUAAGAAUGAAACUAAAAUCAGCAGUGAAGCAGUUAAAGAGGAUUAUAAUGAGCAAGAAAUGGAGUCAUCUGUUAACAAACAAGGAUUGUCCAAAAGUCAUUCAUCUGAAAUAAAUAAUGAGGAUAAAGACUCAACUGAAAAUAAAAAUAAUGUUUUACCCACAUUAAUACCAAGUGAUAUCAAGAUAACAGAGGAUGUAAAUGAUAUUAUGAAUGAAGCCAAAGAGUCUUCUGAAUUGGCAGUUUUAACACACAUAAAUGUAUCUUCUACCACACCUGACAGAGUUAUGAAAAGGAAAUUUGAGCAAGGUGAAAGUGAGAGUAACACUUCAGAUGCAGAAGUUUCUUCAGCAAAGAAACGUAAACCUGGUAGACCCAAAAAACAUUCACCUUCUAAACCAGAUGAAGUCACAGAAACCAUUGUUUCAAAGCAGCCAAAGAAGUUAGCUUUUCUUAAGGCUAAGGCUCAAGCCAAGCAAAUGAAAACAGAGAUGAACAAAACAAAGACUCGUAGUGAAUCAGAAUCAAAGGUGUCAUGUUUCGAGGAAGAUAUCUGGUUUCGUCGUCGUAGCGAAAGGAUUUUUCUUCAUGAUGCUGGUGUUGUUCCUGGAGCCAUGUCUCCAUGGAGAGGAGAAAAUGUAGACCUUUCCUCCACAAGUGUGAAAGAAUUAUCUGUGAAUGAUUCAAAAAAAUUUAUUUCACAGCCACAAAUAAAAUAUGAAACGACAUCCAAAAAUUCAAGAAGUAACAGUAAAUCUGAGGAUAAAUCUGAAUCCUCCAAAAAAUUAAAGGUGAAAAAAGAUUCAGAGUUAUCAAGCAAGAAAAUGAAAACAAAAGAAAACAAAAAACAACAAAAGAAAGAAAAGAUGGUUCCAGAUGAUUUGUUUACAGCUCUAAAGAAGUGUCGACUUAGUGAGAGUAGCCAAGGGAUUACAUCUCCUCAUCCUGCAGAUCUGGAAAAUUCAGAGAGCAGUGAAGGAGAAAAUAUUCCUUUAAGUGCCUUAAUUGACAGGUCAUCUACUCCAGCUUUUCUUGGAGAGCUCCGAUCCUGCCUUCUUCAGCCUCAAGAACUGGAUGAACAUCUGAGAGUUUUAACAAUGGAUGACGGCUUAUUUUAUGCUGGGACUAUUAAAGCCAUUCAAGCCCCUGAUGUGUAUGGCAUUACAAGAGAUGGAGAAAGAGGGAACAGACCUCACAUUUAUUCUCGGGAGGAAAUUUUAAAUGAGGCUAUUGUUGAAGUAAAACCAACAUCAUUGCGCCAUCUACCAGAGGGGCGGAGAAUUUGUGCAUUUUGGAGUCAGCAGUAUCGAUGCAUGUAUCCUGGAACUGUGGCUAAAUCAUCCAGUCCCAAGCGUGAUUCAGAUAGGGAUAUGGUGUAUGUGGAGUUUGAUGAUGGGGAUUCUGGUCGAAUAUCUCUCAAAGAUAUAUGUAUGCUUCCACCAAAUUAUCCUGUUGUGUCAACUGAUCUCAAUCCUCUUAUGUUGCUUGGAAAACGAAGACAGCACCAAGUUUCAGAAGGAAGUAUCACAGACAAUUCAGCUACCACAUCAAGUCAUAAUGGAGAAAAAGUCAAAAUAAAAAAGAACAAAAAUAAAUCCAAGUCUGGAAAGAAAAAAAAUUAUAAGUCACAAAACCAGAACAUGGAUGUUUACUCACAGAUGGGUGAUGUUUCUUACCCAGAAACACUUUUAUCGUUUUCUGGUUCAAAGGACAGCAGUUUUAUCAGUACCACUACUUCAUACAGUGCACCUUUCACAUUAACAACAUUUGCUGCCACUACAACUACAGCUGUAAAUAAUGGGAAAGCUACUUCAGUGUAUUCAUCUAAGAAAGAAAAGAAUAAAAACUCGCAAAAAAAGAAAUCCAAGAAAAGCAAAGGUGAAUCUAGAAGUAAAAUUAAAGAGAAAUCUAAAGAAAAAGAAUGGCAUCAUAUUGGUAGUUCUUCAGAAACAAGUUGUGGUCCUCCAUCAUUGAAAACAAAAAAACACAAGAAACAUAAAGAUGAUCAUAAGCAUCGGCGGCAUCACCACCAUCACCACUGCCAUCAUCACCACCACCAUAAGAAACACAGGCAUGAAAAAAGAAGCAAUCCAAGCAGUCCUGAACAUUGCAUGUCUUCAUCUUGCAGUGAUGCAAAUACAUCAAAAGUUGUUUCAUCAUCAUCAAGAACAUCUCUCACAGAGAAUACUGCAAGUGUUUUAAAAGAUACAUCUUCAUCUUCCCAGCAACUGCCUCUUGUGGAAGUAUCUUCUGAGUCUCUCACAAUUGAAGAAAGAAAUCCCAGUACAGAGAGAAAGAAGUCAGAAUUGAUGCUGAAGAUUAGAACUAAUUCCACUGACAUUCCCCAAGAACACGAUAAAGAAAUAUAUAAAGAGGAUAAGAAAGAUGCAGACGUGGAAUCUUCCUCCGAAAACAGCAGUGAUAGCUCAGAGAGCUCUGAUUCUUCAGACAAAGAAAGAACAACUACAACAUUAUCUACUGUUAAUGAAGAGUCUCAGCAAAAUAUAAAAAAGACUUCUAAAUCAUCUGAGGAUAGCGAGAAAUUCAGUGAGAAAAAGAGGCGAAAAGAUCGCCUCCCUUCAGUUGAAAAAAGUAAAAUAGCAGCCUUUCUCCCAGCUCAGCAACUGUGGCGGUGGGCUGGGAAAAGUUUCAGACGAGCCAGCACUAAAGGAAAAGCAAAGAAAGAGUUUUACAAGGCCAUCAUCAGAGGAAAAGAGACAAUCAAGGAAGACCCCACCUCCCCUUCAUUGGAAGAAUCGAAACCAUGUGGCAAUCAUGGGGGGGCAACAUGGUGGUGAAAGUGAAAUGGUUUUAUCACCCAGAUGAAACAAAAGGAGGAAAUCAACUUCUUGAGCCAAAGGGAGCAGUGUUUCAAUCACCACACAUGGAUGAAAAUGAUGUUCAGACAAUCUCCCACAAGUGUGAAGUACUCUCGUGGACAGAAUACAAAGCCAGGAGAGUUGCAGAGACCUCUAGUGGAAAGUCCGAGUAUGGC
This 8706-nucleotide unclassified non-coding RNA is filed under the name Limulus polyphemus (Atlantic horseshoe crab). RNAcentral's name for it is "bAH and coiled-coil domain-containing protein 1-like, transcript variant X2". Lineage: Eukaryota; Metazoa; Arthropoda; Merostomata; Xiphosura; Limulidae. The record is from RNAcentral.